RNAcentral lists this ribosomal RNA (2546 nucleotides) under Vibrio cholerae CP1046(19). Its description in RNAcentral is "bacterial LSU rRNA". It matches the Rfam family "Bacterial large subunit ribosomal RNA", at positions 391 to 2925 of the family's 2925-position model. The record is from RNAcentral. Lineage: Bacteria; Pseudomonadati; Pseudomonadota; Gammaproteobacteria; Vibrionales; Vibrionaceae.
CUUCAUCGAGCGUGAAAUCGAGUAGGGCGGGACACGUGAUAUCCUGUCUGAAUAUGGGGGGACCAUCCUCCAAGGCUAAAUACUCCUGACUGACCGAUAGUGAACCAGUACCGUGAGGGAAAGGCGAAAAGAACCCCUGUGAGGGGAGUGAAAUAGAACCUGAAACCGUGUACGUACAAGCAGUAGGAGCACCUUCGUGGUGUGACUGCGUACCUUUUGUAUAAUGGGUCAGCGACUUAUAUUCAGUGGCAAGGUUAACCGUAUAGGGGAGCCGUAGCGAAAGCGAGUCUUAACUGGGCGCUCAGUCUCUGGAUAUAGACCCGAAACCGGGUGAUCUAGCCAUGGGCAGGUUGAAGGUUGAGUAACAUCAACUGGAGGACCGAACCGACUAAUGUUGAAAAAUUAGCGGAUGACUUGUGGCUAGGGGUGAAAGGCCAAUCAAACUCGGAGAUAGCUGGUUCUCCCCGAAAGCUAUUUAGGUAGCGCCUCGGACGAAUACUACUGGGGUAGAGCACUGUUAAGGCUAGGGGUCAUCCCGACUUACCAACCCUUUGCAAACUCCGAAUACCAGUAAGUACUAUCCGGGAGACACACGGCGGGUGCUAACGUCCGUCGUGGAGAGGGAAACAACCCAGACCGCCAGCUAAGGUCCCAAAGUAUUGCUAAGUGGGAAACGAUGUGGGAAGGCUCAGACAGCUAGGAUGUUGGCUUAGAAGCAGCCAUCAUUUAAAGAAAGCGUAAUAGCUCACUAGUCGAGUCGGCCUGCGCGGAAGAUGUAACGGGGCUAAGCAAUACACCGAAGCUGCGGCAAUGUCUUUUAGACAUUGGGUAGGGGAGCGUUCUGUAAGCCGUUGAAGGUGAAUCGUAAGGUUUGCUGGAGGUAUCAGAAGUGCGAAUGCUGACAUGAGUAACGACAAAGGGGGUGAAAAACCUCCUCGCCGGAAGACCAAGGGUUCCUGUCCAACGUUAAUCGGGGCAGGGUGAGUCGACCCCUAAGGUGAGGCCGAAAGGCGUAAUCGAUGGGAAACGGGUUAAUAUUCCCGUACUUCUGACUAUUGCGAUGGGGGGACGGAGAAGGCUAGGUGGGCCAGGCGACGGUUGUCCUGGUUCAAGUGCGUAGGCUUGAGAGUUAGGUAAAUCCGGCUCUCUCUAAGGCUGAGACACGACGUCGAGCUACUACGGUAGUGAAGUCAUUGAUGCCAUGCUUCCAGGAAAAGCCUCUAAGCUUCAGAUAGUCAGGAAUCGUACCCCAAACCGACACAGGUGGUCGGGUAGAGAAUACCAAGGCGCUUGAGAGAACUCGGGUGAAGGAACUAGGCAAAAUGGUACCGUAACUUCGGGAGAAGGUACGCUCUUGAUGGUGAAGUCCCUCGCGGAUGGAGCUGACGAGAGUCGCAGAUACCAGGUGGCUGCAACUGUUUAUUAAAAACACAGCACUGUGCAAAAUCGCAAGAUGACGUAUACGGUGUGACGCCUGCCCGGUGCCGGAAGGUUAAUUGAUGGGGUUAGCGCAAGCGAAGCUCUUGAUCGAAGCCCCGGUAAACGGCGGCCGUAACUAUAACGGUCCUAAGAUAGCGAAAUUCCUUGUCGGGUAAGUUCCGACCUGCACGAAUGGCGUAAUGAUGGCCACGCUGUCUCCACCCGAGACUCAGUGAAAUUGAAAUCGCUGUGAAGAUGCAGUGUACCCGCGGCUAGACGGAAAGACCCCGUGAACCUUUACUACAGCUUGGCACUGAACAUUGAACCUACAUGUGUAGGAUAGGUGGGAGGCUAUGAAGACGUGACGCCAGUUGCGUUGGAGCCGUCCUUGAAAUACCACCCUUGUAUGUUUGAUGUUCUAACUUAGACCCAUUAUCUGGGUUGAGGACAGUGCCUGGUGGGUAGUUUGACUGGGGCGGUCUCCUCCCAAAGAGUAACGGAGGAGCACGAAGGUGGGCUAAUCACGGUUGGACAUCGUGAGGUUAGUGCAAUGGCAUAAGCCCGCUUAACUGCGAGAAUGACGGUUCGAGCAGGUGCGAAAGCAGGUCAUAGUGAUCCGGUGGUUCUGUAUGGAAGGGCCAUCGCUCAACGGAUAAAAGGUACUCCGGGGAUAACAGGCUGAUACCGCCCAAGAGUUCAUAUCGACGGCGGUGUUUGGCACCUCGAUGUCGGCUCAUCACAUCCUGGGGCUGAAGUCGGUCCCAAGGGUAUGGCUGUUCGCCAUUUAAAGUGGUACGCGAGCUGGGUUUAGAACGCCGUGAGACAGUUCGGUCCCUAUCUGCCGUGGGCGUUGGAAGAUUGAAGGGGGCUGCUCCUAGUACGAGAGGACCGGAGUGGACGAACCUCUGGUGUUCGGGUUGUGUCGCCAGACGCAUUGCCCGGUAGCUAAGUUCGGAAUUGAUAAGCGCUGAAAGCAUCUAAGCGCGAAGCGAGCCCUGAGAUGAGUCUUCCCUGACAGUUUAACUGUCCUAAAGGGUUGUUCGAGACUAGAACGUUGAUAGGCAGGGUGUGUAAGCGUUGUGAGGCGUUGAGCUAACCUGUACUAAUUGCCCGUGAGGCUUAACCAU